Molecule: long non-coding RNA, 164 nt
Organism: Triticum dicoccoides
Lineage: Eukaryota; Viridiplantae; Streptophyta; Magnoliopsida; Poales; Poaceae
Exons: 2
Source: RefSeq, a predicted model, not a curated record
AUUUUCAGCCUAUUUUCUUCUCCAAAGAAGAGAUAUUCAUCCUUGUUGGCGAAUAAUCCUUUCCUCAUUCCUGCAAAUUUGAUGCACGAGAAAAUAUGUCAGAAUUCAAGGGGAUCUGGACUUGUGCUAUAUUCAUCAUCUAAAUUAGAUAUUUCUACAUUUUG